GGCUGGGUUCUGCGCGGCAGAGCCGCCGAACCGUGUCAGGUCCUAACGGAAGCAGCACUAAGGCGAUCACUCUGGGUGCCGCAGGUCAACCUAGCCUCA
Molecule: signal recognition particle RNA, 99 nt
Filed under: Chloroflexota bacterium
Lineage: Bacteria; Bacillati; Chloroflexota
Also listed under: 1 other name
Description: Chloroflexi bacterium signal recognition particle sRNA small type
Rfam family: Bacterial small signal recognition particle RNA
About the family: The signal recognition particle (SRP) is a universally conserved ribonucleoprotein involved in the co-translational targeting of proteins to membranes.
Source: RNAcentral